RNAcentral lists this ribosomal RNA (258 nucleotides) under uncultured Lactobacillus sp. Its description in RNAcentral is "partial 16S ribosomal RNA". It matches the Rfam family "Bacterial small subunit ribosomal RNA", at positions 276 to 524 of the family's 1533-position model. Lineage: Bacteria; Bacillati; Bacillota; Bacilli; Lactobacillales; Lactobacillaceae. The record is from RNAcentral.
AUGAUGCAUAGCCGAGUUGAGGACUGAUCGGCCACAUUGGGACUGAGACACGGCCCAAAACUCCUACGGGAGGCAGCAGUAGGGAAAUCUUCCACAAUGGACGCAAGUCUGAUGGAGCAACGCCGCGUGAGUGAAGAAGGGUUUCGGCUCGUAAAGCUCUGUUGUUGGUGAAGAGGGACAGGGGUAGUAACUGACCUUUGUUUGACGGUAAUCAAUUAGAAAGUCACGGCUAACUACGUGCCAGCAGCCGCGGGUAAU